GCAACUCCCACCCUGCAGAGACAGCCUACAGCUCAGGGAAGUGAGGGAUGGGGGGACAGGCUGCAAGGAUACAUAUACUGAGACACUAAGGGACACUGGGAGACAUUAUGGCAGACACUGAGACAUUAAGGGACAAUGGGAGACAUUAUGGCAGACACUGAGACACUAAGGGACACUGGGAGACAUUAUGGCAGACACUAAGGGACACUGUGAGACAUUAUGGCAGACACUGAGACACUAAGGGGCACUGGGAGACAUUAUGGCAG
Non-coding RNA from Pelobates cultripes (western spadefoot toad), 266 nucleotides. The record is from the annotation of a GenBank genome assembly. NCBI's taxonomy places the organism in Eukaryota, Metazoa, Chordata, Amphibia, Anura, Pelobatidae.